GGGAUGUCUAUACAUACUAAGCAUUAGUGUUUGCUGCUUGUCUAUAUAUUUCUGUGCUUUUAAAGACCAAUCAGAUCUCAGCUGUGCUUUUAAAGACCAAUCAGAGUUCAGAUACUAUCCCUUGUGUUCACUGUAAAUUAUAUAUUUAUUAUGAAAUUAUGAUGGUUUAAAGUAGACAUUGAUAUAGGUCAUACUGGACACCAACCAAUCUGAUAAAAAAAUUACUGUAAAUCACAGGUCAUAUUUUUUUAAUGCAUUUUUUUUCAUCACUAAUGAUUUUACAGUUUAAAUAUAUGACGUUAUUGUAACAAAUAUAGGUAAAUAAAUACAUUGACGUAAUUUAGCAGACGCUCUAAUCCAGAGUGAUUUACAGGAGCAGUUACAAUCCAGUGCCUUGCUCAAGGGCACGUCAACAGAUUAUUCACCCAGUUGGCUCAGCUACGGUAACACAGUAUCAUGAAUCUCAUGAAAGAAGGAGGACCAUAUUGUUGACCUGGAGCCAUAAUCCAGAACACCAAGUGAUGACAGCUCAUCAAUUCAAGUCAAUUCAGAAGGAACUCAAAGGAAACUGAAAUCAGUCGAAUGGAGACCAAAUAAACAACACAAUAUAAUGGUCGGCACUAUAUUUCCUUCGAUCCGCUUUGUGGUUGAGUGUUUCUGUUGAUCUGGAUGUCUUUGUAUUUUCUGCACAAUUAUAGCGAAUAAAAGGUAUUCUAUGA
This is a long non-coding RNA of Oncorhynchus gorbuscha (pink salmon), 719 nucleotides long. RefSeq lists it as uncharacterized. The transcript has 2 exons. Lineage: Eukaryota; Metazoa; Chordata; Actinopteri; Salmoniformes; Salmonidae. The record is from RefSeq and is a predicted model, not a curated record.